AAUUCGAAGCAACGCGAAGAACCUUACCAGGUCUUGACACCCCGAUGCUAUUUCUAGAGAUAGAAAGUUACUUCGGUACAUCGGUGACAGGUGGUGCAUGGUUGUCGUCAGCUCGUGUCGUGAGAUGUUGGGUUAAGUCCCGCAACGAGCGCAACCCCUAUUGUUAGUUGCCAUCAUUCAGUUGGGCACUCUAGCGAGACUGCCGGUAAUAAACCGGAGGAAGGUGGGGAUGACGUCAAAUCAUCAUGCCCCUUAUGACCUGGGCUACACACGUGCUACAAUGGUUGGUACAACGAGUUGCGAGUCGGUGACGGCGAGCUAAUCUCUUAAAGCCAAUCUCAGUUCGGAUUGUAGGCUGCAACUCGCCUACAUGAAGUCGGAAUCGCUAGUAACCGCAGGUCAGCAUACUGCGGUGAAUACGUUCCCGGGCCUU
This 433-nucleotide ribosomal RNA is filed under the name uncultured Streptococcus sp. RNAcentral's name for it is "bacterial SSU rRNA". It matches the Rfam family "Bacterial small subunit ribosomal RNA", at positions 948 to 1382 of the family's 1533-position model. Lineage: Bacteria; Bacillati; Bacillota; Bacilli; Lactobacillales; Streptococcaceae. The record is from RNAcentral.